This 1152-nucleotide long non-coding RNA is filed under the name Sus scrofa (pig). RNAcentral describes it as "lncRNA (ENSSSCG00070013925.1)". The record is from RNAcentral. Lineage: Eukaryota; Metazoa; Chordata; Mammalia; Artiodactyla; Suidae.
UGGAAUCUGGCCGCCCCGGGAUCAUCACCUGUGCCCUGCCCACGGCCUCUGAGUGGUGCACACCCCCCACCUCUCCUGGAUGGGGGCCGCCCUCCGCUCCCUGCGGUCCAGGCCCCCCACCUCCUCAGUGCUGACCUUCACCCCGGGGCCCAGGGACCACGGCACAGACCUCACAUGUCGAGUGGCCUUCCCCGGAGCUGGAGCCGGCGUGAGCUUCCAGAGCACCAUCAGGCUGAACGUGUCAUGUGAGUGCUGGGCCACGAUGGGGGGCCCUGAGGGUGGUGGGGCCGUCGGGGGGAGGGGUUGGGGGUAAGGGGGGGAGGCCCGAGGUGGGACACUCAGGGACUGUCUGUGGAGGGCAUGCUGGGGUCAAGAAGAAGAGGCUGGAGUUCCCACGGUGGCGCAAUGGGAUCUGUGGUGUCUCUGCAAUACUAGGACACAGGUUCCAUCCCCGGCCUGGCACGUGGGUGAAGGGAUCCUGCACUGGCGCAGCUGUGCCAAAGGUCGAAGCUGCAGCUUGGAUCUGAUCUCUGGUCCGGGAACUCCACAGCCUCGGGGCAGCAAAAAAAGAAGAAAAAGAGACCACACAGACCGCAUCAUCUUGCCUGUGACCACUCCAGCGUCCUGCAGGAGGCCGAUUCUUUCUUUCUGUUCCAGAUGCUCCAGAGAAUCUGACCGUCCACGUCUUCCGGGGAAAGAGCACAGGCUGAGCUGGACCCGGGGGAACCUGACCCUGAGCCCCUCCCAGCCCCUGGAUCCCGGGGUCCUGGAGCUGCCCCGCAUGGUCUUGGGGGACGGAGGGGAGUUCACCUGCUGAGCUCAGCACCGGAGCGUCUCGUACCAUGUCUCCUUGAACCUAGUCAUGCAGGGUGAGUAUAAGCAGGGAUGCCCGGGGAGUUCCCGCGGUGGCUCAGCCGGUUAAGAACCUGACUAGUAUCCAUGAGGAUGUGGGCUCAAUCCCUGGCCCCAUUCAGUGAGCUGUGGUGUAGGUUGCAGACAGAGUUCAUCUGGUAUGGCUGGGGCUGGGGCUGGGGCUGGGGCUGGCAGCUGCAGCUUCGAGUCAACCCCCAGCCUGGGAACUUCCAUUUGCCACACCUGUGACCCUAAAAAAUUUUUUAAAAAUUGAAUGAAUAAAUAAAUAAAAGACUGACA